GAUGAACGCUGGCGGCGUGCCUAAUACAUGCAAGUCGAGCGAACAGACGAGGAGCUUGCUCCUUUGACGUUAGCGGCGGACGGGUGAGUAACACGUAGGUAACCUACCUAUAAGACUGGAUAACUUCGGGAAACCGGAGCUAAUACCGGAUAAUAUUUCGAACCGCAUGGUUCGAUAGUGAAAGAUGGCUUUGCUAUCACUUAUAGAUGGACCUGCGCCGUAUUAGCUAGUUGGUAAGGUAACGGCUUACCAAGGCAACGAUACGUAGCCGACCUGAGAGGGUGAUCGGCCACACUGGAACUGAGACACGGUCCAGACUCCUACGGGAGGCAGCAGUAGGGAAUCUUCCGCAAUGGGCGAAAGCCUGACGGAGCAACGCCGCGUGAGUGAUGAAGGUCUUCGGAUCGUAAAACUCUGUUAUUAGGGAAGAACAAACGUGUAAGUAACUGUGCACGUCUUGACGGUACCUAAUCAGAAAGCCACGGCUAACUACGUG
Molecule: ribosomal RNA, 496 nt
Filed under: uncultured bacterium
Lineage: Bacteria
Description: partial 16S ribosomal RNA
Rfam family: Bacterial small subunit ribosomal RNA
Source: RNAcentral